AAGCGGAGGAAAAGAAACCAACAGGGAUUGCCCUAGUAACGGCGAGUGAAGCGGCAACAGCUCAAAUUUGAAAUCUGGCUCUUUUAGAGUCCGAGUUGUAAUUUGCAGAGGGCGCUUUGGCUUUGGCAGCGGUCCAAGUUCCUUGGAACAGGACGUCACAGAGGGUGAGAAUCCCGUACGUGGUCGCUGGCUAUUGCCGUGUAAAGCCCCUUCGACGAGUCGAGUUGUUUGGGAAUGCAGCUCUAAAUGGGAGGUACAUUUCUUCUAAAGCUAAAUAUUGGCCAGAGACCGAUAGCGCACAAGUAGAGUGAUCGAAAGAUGAAAAGCACUUUGGAAAGAGAGUCAAACAGCACGUGAAAUUGUUGAAAGGGAAGCGCUUGCAGCCAGACUUGCUUACAGUUGCUCAUCCGGGUUUCUACCCGGUGCACUCUUCUGUAGGCAGGCCAGCAUCAGUUUGGGCGGUAGGAUAAAGGUCUCUGUCACGUACCUCCUUUCGGGGAGGCCUUAUAGGGGAGACGACAUACUACCAGCCUGGACUGAGGUCCGCGCAUCUGCUAGGAUGCUGGCGUAAUGGCUGUAAGCGGCCCGUCUUGAAACACGGACCAAGGAGUCUAACAUCUAUGCGAGUGUUUGGGUGUCAAGCCCGAGCGCGUAAUGAAAGUGAACGGAGGUGGGAACCCGCAAGGGUGCACCAUCGACCGAUCCUGAUGUCUUCGGAAGGAUUUGAGUAAGAGCAUGGCUGUUGGGACCCGAAAGAUGGUGAACUAUGCUUGAAUAGGGUGAAGCCAGAGGAAACUCUGGUGGAGGCUCGCAGCGGUUCUGACGUGCAAAUCGAUCGUCAAAUUUGGGCAUAGGGGCGAAAGACUAAUCGAACUAUCUAGUAGCUGGUUCCUGCCGA
RNAcentral lists this ribosomal RNA (898 nucleotides) under Alternaria alternata. RNAcentral's name for it is "LSU rRNA". It matches the Rfam family "Eukaryotic large subunit ribosomal RNA", at positions 48 to 964 of the family's 3401-position model. The record is from RNAcentral. Lineage: Eukaryota; Fungi; Ascomycota; Dothideomycetes; Pleosporales; Pleosporaceae.